CAGUAGCCGCGGUAAUACGUAGGGUGCGAGCGUUAAUCGGAAUUACUGGGCGUAAAGCGUGCGCAGGCGGUUCGUUAAGACAGAUGUGAAAUCCCCGGGCUUAACCUGGGAACUGCAUUUGUGACUGGCGAGCUAGAGUAUGGCAGAGGGGGGUAGAAUUCCACGUGUAGCAGUGAAAUGCGUAGAGAUGUGGAGGAACACCGAUGGCGAAGGCAGCCCCCUGGGACGAGACUGACGCUCAUGCACGAAAGCGUGGGGAGCAAACAGGAUUAGAUACCCCCGUAGUCCCUGUCUCUUAUAC
RNAcentral lists this ribosomal RNA (301 nucleotides) under uncultured bacterium. Its description in RNAcentral is "partial 16S ribosomal RNA". It matches the Rfam family "Bacterial small subunit ribosomal RNA", at positions 509 to 807 of the family's 1533-position model. The record is from RNAcentral.